Molecule: ribosomal RNA, 466 nt
Filed under: uncultured bacterium
Lineage: Bacteria
Description: bacterial SSU rRNA
Rfam family: Bacterial small subunit ribosomal RNA
Source: RNAcentral
GACGACGCUGGCGGCGCGCUUAACACAUGCAAGUCGUGCGGUACCGAUGGCAAGUCUUCUUGACGAGCCUUCGGUAUAGCGGCGGACGGGUGAGUAACACGUGAGUAGCUGUCCUAGGGAGGGGGAUAACGCCUGGAAACGGGUGCUAAAACCCCAUAAGCCUCGAAAGAGGUAAAAGUGCAUCACUGCAGUCCUAGGGUGUGCUCGCGGCCUAUCAGCUAGUUGGUGAGGUAAGGGCUCACCAAGGCCAAGACGGGUAGCCGGCCUGAGAGGGUGUACGGCCACACUGGAAUUGAGAUACGGUCCAGACUCCUACGGGAGGCAGCAGUGGGGAAUUUUGGGCAAUGGGCGAAAGCCUGACCCAGCGACGCCGCGUUGGGGAUGAAGUCCUUCGGGGCGUAAACCCAUGUUGUAGGGGAAGAAGAAAGUGACGGUACCCUACGAGAAAGCCCCGGCCAACUACGUG